GGACGUUCAAUAGCCAUGAAAUGAAGUGGAGCAACACCACGAUGGGAUAAUCCUAGGUAUGAAGUGGACAAAUUAUUGUAUAUUAGUAAUUGUAUAAAUAUUAGUUUGAUUUGUAUAAUAUACUAAGAAUUGCUGCCAUAAAAUAUAUAUACGACUUGCUUACAAUAUAAAUAUGACUUGCAUACAAUAUUAAUAUGAAAAAGAAUUUAAGAAAAAAAGUCUUAAG
Molecule: long non-coding RNA, 226 nt
Filed under: Setaria viridis
Lineage: Eukaryota; Viridiplantae; Streptophyta; Magnoliopsida; Poales; Poaceae
Description: long non-coding RNA (SVIR_LNC010490)
Source: RNAcentral